This 302-nucleotide ribosomal RNA is filed under the name uncultured bacterium. RNAcentral's name for it is "partial 16S ribosomal RNA". It matches the Rfam family "Bacterial small subunit ribosomal RNA", at positions 508 to 809 of the family's 1533-position model. The record is from RNAcentral.
GCAGCAGCCGCGGGAAUACAGAGGGUGCGAGCGUUAAUCGGAUUUACUGGGCGUAAAGCGUGCGUAGGCGGCUUUUUAAGUCGGAUGUGAAAUCCCUGAGCUUAACUUAGGAAUUGCAUUCGAUACUGGGAAGCUAGAGUAUGGGAGAGGAUGGUAGAAUUCCAGGUGUAGCGGUGAAAUGCGUAGAGAUCUGGAGGAAUACCGAUGGCGAAGGCAGCCAUCUGGCCUAAUACUGACGCUGAGGUACGAAAGCAUGGGGAGCAAACAGGAUUAGAUACCCGCGUAGUCCCUGUCUCUUAUAA